RNAcentral lists this ribosomal RNA (453 nucleotides) under Triticum aestivum (bread wheat). RNAcentral's name for it is "partial small subunit ribosomal RNA". Lineage: Eukaryota; Viridiplantae; Streptophyta; Magnoliopsida; Poales; Poaceae. The record is from RNAcentral.
AUGGUUCUCUUGAGCGAUAUAAAGAUCGUCUUGUGGCCUCGUGGUUUUCAGCAGGAGCAUGGCCAUGAUUACGAUGAGACAUUCGCUCCUGUGGCCCAUAUGACCACUAUCCGCACACUUCUCGUUGUAGCCUCUAUUCGUCAUUGGUCCGUGUCUCAGCUUGAUGUUAAGAAUGCCUUUCUUAACGGUGAGUUGCGUGAGGAGGUUUAUAUGCAACCACCACCUGGGUAUUCUGUUCCUGAUGGCAUGGUUUGUCGUCUUCGUCGCUCUCUCUACGGUCUCAAGCAAGCCCCUCGCGCUUGGUUUGAGCGUUUUGCCUCUGUGGUGACUGCAGCUGGUUUUUCUCCCAGUGCUCAUGAUCCAGCGUUGUUUGUCCACCUUUCCGCUCGUGGUCGCACUCUUCUUCUUCUAUAUGUUGAUGACAUGAUCAUCACUGGCGACGAUCUUGAGUAC